GACGAACGCUGGCGGCGUGCUUAACACAUGCAAGUCGAACGGAAAGGCCCUGCUUUUGUGGGGUGCUCGAGUGGCGAACGGGUGAGUAACACGUGAGUAACCUGCCCUUGACUUUGGGAUAACUUCAGGAAACUGGGGCUAAUACCGGAUAGGAGCUCCUGCUGCAUGGUGGGGGUUGGAAAGUUUCGGCGGUUGGGGAUGGACUCGCGGCUUAUCAGCUUGUUGGUGGGGUAGUGGCUUACCAAGGCUUUGACGGGUAGCCGGCCUGAGAGGGUGACCGGCCACAUUGGGACUGAGAUACGGCCCAGACGCCUACGGGAGGCAGCAGUGGGGAAUAUUGCACAAUGGGCGGAAGCCUGAUGCAGCAACGCCGCGUGCGGGAUGACGGCCUUCGGGUUGUAAACCGCGUUCGCCUGUGACGAAGCGUGAGUGACGGUAAUGGGUAAAGAAGCACCGGCUAACUACGUG
This 468-nucleotide ribosomal RNA is filed under the name uncultured bacterium. Its description in RNAcentral is "partial 16S ribosomal RNA". It matches the Rfam family "Bacterial small subunit ribosomal RNA", at positions 28 to 507 of the family's 1533-position model. The record is from RNAcentral.